AAGAUGAAGCAGGGACAACGUGAUUCACAGCCUGCAUGGGGCGUCAGGGCAGGGUGAGCAGGAAGAGAGACGGUGAAAUUAUCGCCCCGGGGAGCAGCUGCAAGCUGUUUUCUCACAGGAUUCACAGAUAAGUUACUGCUUUUAGUCCUCCCUGUUGUGAAUGUUGGUUUGCUCUCCCUGCAGCAAGGAGGAUGUGGCACAUAGACAUGUGCAGCGCUGGGCACGUGCAUGAAUACCCACCACAUUACAGCCAGGAGUCUGCUCAGCUCUUCAGCAAUGGCCUGCUCAGUGGCAAGGCACUGAACUUACUUGUGUGGUGGUCAAACUCUCCAACCAGCAGUGGCAGCCCAACAACAGACAGCAGGAAUGCAGCCAGCAUCCCCCAGGAAGGCAGCAGGAGUUACUGGUGUGAACUGAGAGGAUAUGUGUAGUACAGCAGUGCCCUAGGUGUUGGGUGAGUUAUUUUUUCUCCUAUUUGCAGCCUCCAGGCAAAGCUAAGACAGAGGCAGGGCCGAAAAUAAAAAUCCCAUCCCCUGGCAGUGCUGAUCUUCAGCAUCACACAGGAACUGCUGUGCCAGGUUUCUGACAUCCUGCUUUACUGCACUGACAACUGGGCCAGCUUCUCGCCCUCAGCCUUGCUCAUCUUUCUCCCUGAGGUCAUUGGGAGAAGGAAAGAAAUAU
Lagopus leucura (white-tailed ptarmigan) is the source of this 681-nucleotide long non-coding RNA. RefSeq lists it as uncharacterized. The record is from RefSeq and is a predicted model, not a curated record. The transcript is spliced from 4 exons. Lineage: Eukaryota; Metazoa; Chordata; Aves; Galliformes; Phasianidae.